RNAcentral lists this ribosomal RNA (497 nucleotides) under uncultured bacterium. Its description in RNAcentral is "partial 16S ribosomal RNA". It matches the Rfam family "Bacterial small subunit ribosomal RNA", at positions 28 to 507 of the family's 1533-position model. The record is from RNAcentral.
GAUGAACGCUGGCGGCGUGCUUAAUACAUGCAAGUCGAACGAACAGACCAGAAGUUUGUUCCGUUGACGAUUGGCGCAGGGGGGUGUAACACGCGUGGGUAAUGUACUUCUAUGCGUGGUAUGCCUUGGGGACUCGGGCGCAUAUAGCGUAGAAUAUCUUGAAGCGCGUGGUUGAAUAGAGAAUUUCGGUUUUGCUGUCAGCUCGAGGUCGAUCCGCUCCGCAGUAGCUAGUUGGUAUGGUAACGGCUUACCAAGGCAACGAUGGGUAGCCGACGUGAGCGGGUGAUCGGCGACACUGGAAGUGAGACACGGUCCAGGCUCCUACGGGAGGCAGCGGUAGGGAAUCUUCGGCAAUGGGCGAAAGCUUGACGGAGCAACGCCGCGUGAGUGAUGAAGGUCUGCGGAUCGUAAAACUGUGUUAUUAGGGAAGAACAAAUGUGUAAGUAACUAUGCACGUCGUGACGGUACCUAAUCAGAAAGCCACGGCUAACUACGUG